RNAcentral lists this ribosomal RNA (336 nucleotides) under Triticum aestivum (bread wheat). RNAcentral describes it as "partial small subunit ribosomal RNA". The record is from RNAcentral. Lineage: Eukaryota; Viridiplantae; Streptophyta; Magnoliopsida; Poales; Poaceae.
AUGUCGUUCAGAAUAGGGAGCCACAUACAAAGGAGUGCAUAGUUGAUGUGUAUUCGAGUCAUAGGAGUGGUUGGUAACCAACAACAUGCUCGUAUUGAUUAAGUUAUUGUUGUUGUAAUCAAAGAAGCAUUGCCCAAAAUGCUUUUAGAAAGAUCCGAAGUAAUUCAAACUGUAAUUGUCCAUACAUGUAUAAUAAUCCACUAUGAUGAGCAAACUUUCCCCUCCAGACAUCACGGACGAGCCCGUGGAUUCGCCUUCUCUCUGCUUGCGGCUCCGGCGGCCGGUGGUGGGGAGGGGAAUGUUGGUGCCUCCGCUCCAGUUAGUAUUUUAGGUUAG